ACUGACAGCCAUGGUUACCGCGGCUGCUGGCACGGAGUUAGCCGGUGCUUCUUCUGUGAGUGAUGUCCUUCCUGCCGGCUAUUAACCCGCAGGCCUUCUUCCUCACUGAAAGUGCUUUACAACCCGAAGGCCUUCUUCACACACGCGGCAUGGCUGGAUCAGGGUUGCCCCCAUUGUCCAAUAUUCCCCACUGCUGCCUCCCGUAGGAGUCUGGGCCGUGUCUCAGUCCCAGUGUGGCUGAUCAUCCUCUCAGACCAGCUACGGAUCGUCGCCUUGGUGAGCCGUUACCUCACCAACCAGCUAAUCCGACAUAGGCUCAUCCGAUAGCGCGAGGCCCGAAGGUCCCCCGNUUUCCCCCGUAGGGCGUAUGCGGUAUUAGCCUGGGUUUCCCCAGGUUAUCCCCCGACUACCGGGCAGAUUCCUAUGCAUUACUCACCCGUCCGCCGCUCGCCACCAGGGAGCAAGCUCCCCGUGCUGCCGCUCGACUUGCAUGUGUUAGGCCUGCCGCCAGCGUUCAAU
This 519-nucleotide ribosomal RNA is filed under the name uncultured bacterium. Its description in RNAcentral is "partial 16S ribosomal RNA". The record is from RNAcentral.